AGCUGAUCAUCCUGGGCUCUGAUUAGUAUGCAUACAGCGUGCAAGGUGGCAACAGCUGAUCAUCCUGGGCUCUGUUCAGUAGGCAUACAGCGUGCAAGGUGGCAACAGCUGAUCAUCCUGGGCUCUGUUCAGUAGGCACACAGCGUGCAAGGUGGCAACAGCUGAUCAUCCUGGGCUCUGUUCAGUAGGCACACAGCGUGCAAGGUGGCAACAGCUGAUCAUCCUGGGCUCUGUUUAGUAGGCAUACAGCGUGCAAGGUGGCAACAGCUGAUCAUCCUGGGCUCUGUUCAGUAGGCAUACAGCGUGCAAGGUGGCAACAGCUGAUCAUCCUGGGCUCUAUUCAGUAGGCAUACAGCGUGCAAGGUGGCAACAGCUGAUCAUCCUGGGCUCUAUUCAGUAGGCACACAGCGUGCAAGGUGGCAACAGCUGAUCAUCCUGGGCUCUAUUCAGUAGGCAUACAGCGUGCAAGGUGGCAACAGCUGAUCAUCCUGGGCUCUGUUUAGUAGGCAUACAGCGUGCAAGGUGGCAACAGCUGAUCAUCCUGGGCUCUGUUCAGUAGGCAUACAGCGUGCAAGGUGGCAACAGCUGAUCAUCCUGGGCUCUGUUUAGUAGGCAUACAGCGUGCAAGGUGGCAACAGCUGAUCAUCCUGGGCUCUGUUCAGUAGGCAUACAGCGUGCAAGGUGGCAACAGCUGAUCAUCCUGGGCUCUGUUCAGUAGGCACACAGCGUGCAAGGUGGCAACAGCUGAUCAUCCUGGGCUCUGUUUAGUAGGCAUACAGCGUGCAAGGUGGCAACAGCUGAUCAUCCUGGGCUCUGUUCAGUAGGCAUACAGCGUGCAAGGUGGCAACAGCUGAUCAUCCUGGGCUCUGUUUAGUAGGCAUACAGCGUGCAAGGUGGCAACAGCUGAUCAUCCUGGGCUCUGUUCAGUAGGCAUACAGCGUGCAAGGUGGCAACAGCUGAUCAUCCUGGGCUCUGUUUAGUAGGCAUACAGCGUGCAAGGUGGCAACAGCUGAUCAUCCUGGGCUCUGUUCAGUAGGCAUACAGCGUGCAAGGUGGCAACAGCUUUGCAAAGAAGGGCACCUAUUGUUAGAUGGGUAAAUAUAAAAAAGCAGACAUUGAAUAUUCCUUUGAGCAUGGUGAAGUUAUUAAUGACACUUUGGAUGGUGUAUCAAUACACCCAGUCACUACAAAGAUACAGGCGUCUUUCCUAACUCAGUUGCCGGAGAGGAAGGAAACCGCUCAGGGAUUUCACCAUGAGGCCAAUGGUGACUUUAAAACAGUUACAGAGUUUAAUGGCUGUAGUUACUCCACAAUACUAACGUAAAUUACAGAGUGAAAAGAAGGAAGCCUGUACAGACUAAAAAUAUUUCAAAACAUGCAUCCUGUUUACAACAAAGCAUUAAAGUAAUACUGCAAAAAAUGUGGCAAAGCAAUUCACUUUUGUCCUGAAUACAAAGUGUUCUGUUUGGGGCAAAUCCAGUACCACUC
Molecule: long non-coding RNA, 1488 nt
Organism: Oncorhynchus keta (chum salmon)
Lineage: Eukaryota; Metazoa; Chordata; Actinopteri; Salmoniformes; Salmonidae
Exons: 9
Source: RefSeq, a predicted model, not a curated record